AGAACGAACGCUGGCGGCACGCCUAACACAUGCAAGUCGAGCGAGACCUUCGGGUUUAGCGGCGGACGGGUUAGUAACGCGUGGGAACGUACCUUUUGCUUCGGAAUAGCCUCGGGAAACUGGGAGUAAUACCGAAUGUGCCCUUUGGGGGAAAGAUUUAUCGGCAAAAGAUCGGCCCGCGUCUGAUUAGAUAGUUGGUGGGGUAAUGGCCUACCAAGUCUGCGAUCAGUAGCUGGUUUGAGAGGAUGAUCAGCAACACUGGGACUGAGACACGGCCCAGACUCCUACGGGAGGCAGCAGUGGGGAAUCUUAGACAAUGGGCGCAAGCCUGAUCUAGCGAUGCCGCGUGAGUGACGAAGGCCUUAGGGUCUAAAGCUCUUUCGCCAGGAUUGAUAAGUGACAGUUACCUAGGUAAAACGAAACCCCCGGCUAACCGUCCGUGCCAGCGAGCCGAC
RNAcentral lists this ribosomal RNA (455 nucleotides) under uncultured soil bacterium. Its description in RNAcentral is "bacterial SSU rRNA". It matches the Rfam family "Bacterial small subunit ribosomal RNA", at positions 26 to 518 of the family's 1533-position model. The record is from RNAcentral.